CAUGCGGGGGCGGGGCCGCGGCGACGCUGGGUGUGUGGACGCAGAUGGCGGCGGCGCAGGGCGCCUGAGCGGGCCGGGGCCAUGAGCGCCGCCCGGCCCCAGUUCAGCAUUGAUGAUGCCUUCGAGCUGUCCCUGGAGGACGGGGGCCCUGGGCCCGAGUCCAGCGGGGUCGCGCGCUUUGGGCCGCUGCACUUCGAGCGUCGGGCCCGGUUCGAGGUGGCUGACGAGGACAAGCAGUCCCGGCUGCGCUACCAGAACCUGGAGAACGAUGAGGAUGGAGCCCAGGCCUCUCCGGAGCCGGAUGGGGGAGUCGGCACCAGGGAUUCCAGCCGAACUUCCAUCCGCAGCUCCCAGUGGUCCUUCAGCACCAUCAGCAGCAGCACCCAGCGCUCCUACAACACCUGCUGCAGCUGGACCCAACACCCUUUGAUCCAGAAGAACCGCCGAGUGGUGCUGGCCUCCUUCCUGCUCCUGCUGCUGGGGCUGGGGCUGAGCCGGGCCGGGGGUGGGAGCCCCCGCCCUCACCACUGCUCCUGCCCCCACCCCCGCGGCUCCGUCUGUGUGCAGUGCUGAUCCUGGUCGGCGUGGGACUGGAGGCGACCCCCUCUCCAGGUGUCUCCAGCGCCAUCUUCUUCGUGCCGGGCUUCCUGUUGUUGGUGCCUGGAGUCUAUCACGUGAUCUUCAUCUACUGCGCGGUCAAGGGCCACCGGGGCUUCCAGUUCUUCUACCUGCCCUACUUCGAGAAGUGAUCGCGGCGCAGCGUGGACCCCUUGCGUCCAUGGGGGCGCCCCUCUCGCCCUGUUCCGUUCCCCUCAUCUCAAGGGAAGAGGCCCUCCAGGACCCUCGAAACCCCAGCCCCUAGGGAGUUUGCUCAGGAAGUUCGGGGCAUGCAGGCCUGGCCCUGGGAAAGCCGCCCGUCGCCUGCUCUGUGCCUUAACUUAUUCUCGGGCCGUGCGGCUGCUAGGUUGCUGUUAUUUUGUGCUAAUAAAAGAGUAAUUAAUUCCA
Pan troglodytes (chimpanzee) is the source of this 1005-nucleotide RNA transcript. It is a transcript of the gene named transmembrane protein 134, with no coding region annotated. The record is from RefSeq and is a predicted model, not a curated record. NCBI's taxonomy places the organism in Eukaryota, Metazoa, Chordata, Mammalia, Primates, Hominidae. The transcript has 7 exons.